GAUCUAUUUUCGUCACAGAAUCACAACACAAACUGAUGGUGGUUACAGCACCAAACUGUUAUGUUGUCUUUGUUUUUUCGAACAGCAAAUGUAGCCUUUACUAAGGUAAAAAGAGUGCCUCAUGGUAGCAUACCCACUGAUCUCUCCUUUCUCUGUUUGUACAGUCACCAAAAUAAGGACAUGCCGAAGAAGAGAGUGAAAGGUGGAGAUGAAAAAGCAAAUGCCAAAACCCACAGUAUGGUAGCAGCUGCUGAGGAUGAAUGUCCUGUACAUCAAAAUGCGGAUAACACUAUCACCAUCAAGAUUGUCGCCAAACCAGGAGCCAAACACAAUUCAGUAACAGAUGUUAGUAGUGAUGGCGUGGGUGUGCAGAUUGCUGCUCCUCCUGUUGAUGGUGAAGCAAAUACUGAGCUCUUAAAAUACUUAGCUUCAGUCCUUGACCUGAGGAAGUCUGAAAUUUCUUUGGACAAGGAUCACCAGCGGUGAUAUUGCCUGCUGAAAGCAGAGACCCAACACAGGACCUUGCAACAGCCACAUCAGUGUUGAAUCAAAGUUGGAGGGGUGGGGUGGGGGGUGAACACCUCAAUGACUUUCCAAGGCUUGAAGGUACAUGCCUUUCAGGGUCAUGUGCAUGGGUUCUAUACAGUCUUGGGGGUGGUCUGGUGGCACAACAGUUAGUUCCUGUCACUAAUACGGGGUCAAAAUCAAGGAGUAAAAGUGUGAGGAUAAUAGGAUCACUCUCUAAGGAAGAAGUGAUGAGACGUCUUACAUCAGAAAUCAGUGACAAAUGUUCAUAAACAUUUAAGCAUGGUAUGUAGGUCUUAAAGUACUUUUGAUGGUUUGCAUGUCAUUGUCAGAUAAAAAUUUUAAGAAACUCUUUUGCGUUUCAGGCAUCAUGCCAGUCAGACUUCAAGUUUUUCUGUAGUUAUAAAGAGGAUGGUUCUAUUUUUUCCCUUGUCUUCUUUGAUGUCCCAGAGUUUUAUUUCCAGAAUUGUUUAAUUUGAAACUAUAAUUUUGUUCAAAUUUUCAUCACAUGGUGGUGCUGUAAUAGUAUAUGCUGGUAUGUGUCGAAUGGGAUGAGAAAAUGGAAGUGUGGGAAGUGUAACAUAAAUAGCUUGUUUUUGUCAAAAUAGGACCUUUUAUCAGAAAAAGUUUGCUUCCUUCCCUUUUAGAAGAUUAUAACAACAGAGGUAAGCAUACAACAUAUGCAAAAGAUGAUUACAGUUCAUGAGCUGGAAUAUAUAAAUAUUGUAAACUUAUAGAGAACCUGUACGCUUUAGCCUACAUUGAGCAUUUUGUGGUAAGAUCUUCUGAAUACUGGGACAGCAGUGUUCAUUAGAGAUUUUUGGAGCUUGUGAACUUUCGAAAAACUUUAUCAGUUUUAUGUCUUCUAGCAAUAUGUUUGUAGCAUUUGCAUCUUUAUUUCCUGAUCACUAUCACUUCUUUUUCUCUAACACCCCAUCCCCACCACACACACAUUAUAUAGCUAUAAGUGGUUGGAAGCUAUCUCUGACAGCAGGAUUUAUAAGUGUAUGGUCACUUUCUACUUUAUUCUGAUUAAUGUUAUUUUAAUAAUUUUGAGAUGGCUCUGAAUACUUUUGGGAUGUUGUUCAUAUAUUAUUCUUUUAACUUGAAAUCCAAGUUACUUGACAUUCAUAAAGGCGGAUUAAACAUCACUUGCGAUUUGGCUCAUUUUUCCCUUUUAUGUGAAGUUUGUACAUUUUUCUGUCUUGUCAGGAAGUAUUUAAAGACUUGGUCUAAUUUGUCUGCCACCUAUUUGUAUAGCCGAGUUUGUUUCUGCCCCAUUUAUAUUACUUGAAUACUUAAUGUAGCUACUGUCAUAUGCUCUUCUCUGUUUUUUUGUCAGAUUGCAAUGCCUAAGAUGCUGAGGCAUGCAAAUUAAGUCUGCAAACCUUCAAGUGCUUUGUUAACUAGUCAUGUAUUGUCAAGUGGGUGACUAUAUUUGGCGAAUUUUUACAUUUCAUGUUUAAAAAAAAAGUUUACCAGAUAUAUUGCCUUAUUUGACAAUAUUUGUCUGAGAAUGCCUUGUAGGACUAACACACUUUUAGAGAACCUGAGCAGAAUAAACAAAUGACACAGAUCAGUACAGGACAUCACUAGACAGCUGCUUUCAGACAACUGCCU
Pomacea canaliculata is the source of this 2145-nucleotide RNA transcript. It is a transcript of the gene named UPF0235 protein C15orf40 homolog, with no coding region annotated. Lineage: Eukaryota; Metazoa; Mollusca; Gastropoda; Architaenioglossa; Ampullariidae. The transcript is spliced from 5 exons. The record is from RefSeq and is a predicted model, not a curated record.